AUUGAACGCUGGCGGCAUGGCUAAGACAUGCAAGUCGAACGAUGAAGACCCCUUCGGGGGUGUAUGAAGUGGCGAAAGGGCGAGGAAUACAUUCCUACGUGCCUCGAGGUCAGGGAUAGCCCAGGGAAACCUGGAGUAAUACCUGAUGUGGUCUACGGAUCAAAGGCUUGCUGCCUUGAGAGCGGGGAAUGUCCUAUCAGGUUGUUGGUGAGGUAAAGGCUCACCAAGCCUAAGACGGGUAGCGGGUGUGAGAGCAUGACCCGCCGCAUCGGGACUGAGACACUGCCCGGACUCCUACGGGAGGCUGCAGUAACGAAUAUUCCGCAAUGCGCGAAAGCGUGACGGAGCAAUGCCGCGUGCAGGAUGAAGCCUUUCGGGGUGUAAACUGCUGUCAGGGUACAGGAACACAAUGACCAUACCCAAAGGAAGGGCCGGCUAACUUCGUG
Molecule: ribosomal RNA, 446 nt
Filed under: uncultured bacterium
Lineage: Bacteria
Description: bacterial SSU rRNA
Rfam family: Bacterial small subunit ribosomal RNA
Source: RNAcentral